RNAcentral lists this ribosomal RNA (670 nucleotides) under Micromonospora sp. 239. RNAcentral's name for it is "bacterial SSU rRNA". It matches the Rfam family "Bacterial small subunit ribosomal RNA", at positions 64 to 753 of the family's 1533-position model. Lineage: Bacteria; Bacillati; Actinomycetota; Actinomycetes; Micromonosporales; Micromonosporaceae. The record is from RNAcentral.
GAGCGGAAGGCCCUUCGGGGUACUCGAGCGGCGAACGGGUGAGUAACACGUGAGCAACCUGCCCUAGGCUUUGGGAUAACCCUCGGAAACGGGGGCUAAUACCGAAUAGGACCUGACCUCGCAUGGGGUUGGGUGGAAAGUUUUUCGGCCUGGGAUGGGCUCGCGGCCUAUCAGCUUGUUGGUGGGGUGAUGGCCUACCAAGGCGACGACGGGUAGCCGGCCUGAGAGGGCGACCGGCCACACUGGGACUGAGACACGGCCCAGACUCCUACGGGAGGCAGCAGUGGGGAAUAUUGCACAAUGGGCGGAAGCCUGAUGCAGCGACGCCGCGUGAGGGAUGACGGCCUUCGGGUUGUAAACCUCUUUCAGCAGGGACGAAGCGCAAGUGACGGUACCUGCAGAAGAAGCGCCGGCCAACUACGUGCCAGCAGCCGCGGUAAGACGUAGGGCGCGAGCGUUGUCCGGAUUUAUUGGGCGUAAAGAGCUCGUAGGCGGCUUGUCGCGUCGACCGUGAAAACUUGGGGCUCAACCCCAAGCCUGCGGUCGAUACGGGCAGGCUAGAGUUCGGUAGGGGAGACUGGAAUUCCUGGUGUAGCGGUGAAAUGCGCAGAUAUCAGGAGGAACACCGGUGGCGAAGGCGGGUCUCUGGGCCGAUACUGACGCUGAGGAG